AUAUACGACCGUACCGCAAACCGACACUGGUGCGCGAGAUGAGUAUUCUAAGGCGCUUGAGAGAACUCAGGAGAAGGAACUCGGCAAAUUGACACCGUAACUUCGGAAGAAGGUGUGCCCUAUUAGUGUGUAGUGAACAACGAAGCAUGAAAGGGUUGCAAAAAAUCGGUGGCUGCGACUGUUUAUUAAAAACACAGCACUCUGCAAACACGAAAGUGGACGUAUAGGGUGUGACGCCUGCCCGGUGCUGGAAGAUUAAAUGAUGGGGUGCAAGCUCUUGAUUGAAGUCCCAGUAAACGGCGGCCGUAACUAUAACGGUCCUAAGGUAGCGAAAUUCCUUGUCGGGUAAGUUCCGACCUGCACGAAUGGCGUAACGAUGGCCACACUGUCUCCUCCUGAGACUCAGCGAAGUUGAAAUGUUUGUGAUGAUGCAAUCUCCCCGCGGAAAGACGGAAAGACCCCAUGAACCUUUACUGUAGCUUUGUAUUGGACUUUGAACAGAUCUGUGUAGGAUAGGUGGAGGCUUUGAAGCAGGGUCGCUAGAUCUUGUGGAGCCAACGUUGAAAUACCACCCUGGUGUGUUUGAGGUUCUAACCUAGGUCCAUUAUCUGGAUCGGGGACAGUGCAUGGUAGGCAGUUCGACUGGGGCGGUCUCCUCCCAAAGCGUAACGGAGGAGUUCAAAGGUACGCUAGUUACGGUCGGACAUCGUGACGAUAGUGCAAUGGCAUAAGCGUGCUUAACUGCGAGACUGACAAGUCGAGCAGAUGCGAAAGCAGGACAUAGUGAUCCGGUGGUUCUGUAUGGAAGGGCCAUCGCUCAACGGAUAAAAGGUACUCUGGGGAUAACAGGCUGAUACCGCCCAAGAGUUCAUAUCGACGGCGGUGUUUGGCACCUCGAUGUCGGCUCAUCUCAUCCUGGGGCUGUAGCCGGUCCCAAGGGUAUGGCUGUUCGCCAUUUAAAGAGGUACGUGAGCUGGGUUUAAAACGUCGUGAGACAGUUUGGUCCCUAUCUUCCGUGGGCGCUGCAGAUUUGUGGAAGCCUGCUCCUAGUACGAGAGGACCGGAGUGGACACACCUCUGGUGUAUCGGUUGUCACGCCAGUGGCAUUGCCGAGUAGCUAAGUGUGGAAGAGAUAACCGCUGAAAGCAUCUAAGCGGGAAACUCGUUUCAAGAUGAGAUCUGCCGGGGCCUUGAGCCCCCUAAAGAGUCGUUCAAGACCAGGACGUUGAUAGGUCAGGUGUGGAAGC
RNAcentral lists this ribosomal RNA (1247 nucleotides) under metagenome. RNAcentral describes it as "bacterial LSU rRNA". It matches the Rfam family "Bacterial large subunit ribosomal RNA", at positions 1634 to 2874 of the family's 2925-position model. The record is from RNAcentral.